RNAcentral lists this ribosomal RNA (253 nucleotides) under uncultured bacterium. Its description in RNAcentral is "partial 16S ribosomal RNA". It matches the Rfam family "Bacterial small subunit ribosomal RNA", at positions 524 to 776 of the family's 1533-position model. The record is from RNAcentral.
UACAGAGGUCUCAAGCGUUGUUCGGAUUCAUUGGGCGUAAAGCGUGCGCAGGCGGUUCGUUGUGUCCGAUGUGAAAGCCCCGGGCUUAACCUGGGAAUGGCAUUGGAAACUGGCGAGCUUGAGUGCGGCAGAGGGGGGUGGAAUUCCGCGUGUAGCAGUGAAAUGCGUAGAGAUGCGGAGGAACACCGAUGGCGAAGGCAGCCCCCUGGGUCGACACUGACGCUCAGGCACGAAAGCGUGGGGAGCAAACAGG